AUACGGAGGGUGCAAGCGUUAUUCGGAAUCACUGGGCGUAAAGGACGCGUAGGCGGGUUGGCAAGUCAGAUGUGAAAUCCUACAGCUUAACUGUAGAACUGCAUUUGAAACUGCUAACCUAGAGUAUGGGAGGGGGAGAUGGAAUUAGUGGUGUAGUGGUAAAAUCCGUAGAUAUCACUAGGAAUACCGAAAGCGAAGGCGAUCUCCUGGAACAUAACUGACGCUAAGGCGUGAAAGCGUGGGGAGCAAACAGGAUUAGAUACCCUAGUAGUCC
RNAcentral lists this ribosomal RNA (274 nucleotides) under uncultured bacterium. RNAcentral's name for it is "partial 16S ribosomal RNA". It matches the Rfam family "Bacterial small subunit ribosomal RNA", at positions 523 to 796 of the family's 1533-position model. The record is from RNAcentral.